Molecule: ribosomal RNA, 465 nt
Filed under: uncultured bacterium
Lineage: Bacteria
Description: partial 16S ribosomal RNA
Rfam family: Bacterial small subunit ribosomal RNA
Source: RNAcentral
CCUACGGGAGGCAGCAGUAGGGAAUCUUCCACAAUGGGCGAAAGUCUGAUGGAGCAACGCCGCGUGAGUGAAGAAGGGUUUCGGCUCGUAAAGCUCUGUUGGUAGUGAAGAAAGAUAGAGGUAGUAACUGGCCUUUGUUUGACGGUAAUUACUUAGAAAGUCACGGCUAACUACGUGCCAGCAGCCGCGGUAAUACGGAGGUUGCAAUCGUUGUCCGGAUUUAUUGGGCGUAAAGCGAGUGCAGGCGGUACGAGAAGUCUGAUGUGAAAGCCUUCGGCUCAACCGGGGAAUUGCAUCAGAAACUGGUGAACUAGAGUGCAGAAGAGGGGAGUGGAACUCCAUGUGUAGCGGUGGAAUGCGUAGAGAUAUGGAAGAACACCAGUGGCGAAGGCGGCCCCCUGGUCUGCAACUGACGCUGAGGCGCGAAAGCAUGGGUAGCGAACAGGAUUAGAUACCCGUGUAGUC